UUAAACUUUUUUUAUUGGUUGUUCAAAAUUGGAAGGAUACAGAGAAGAUUAGCAUGGCCCCUGUGCAAGGAUGACACACAAAUUCGUGAAGCGUUCCACAUUUUU
RNAcentral lists this small nuclear RNA (105 nucleotides) under Spermophilus dauricus (Daurian ground squirrel). The record is from RNAcentral. Lineage: Eukaryota; Metazoa; Chordata; Mammalia; Rodentia; Sciuridae.